RNAcentral lists this ribosomal RNA (477 nucleotides) under uncultured Candidatus Scalindua sp. RNAcentral describes it as "bacterial SSU rRNA". It matches the Rfam family "Bacterial small subunit ribosomal RNA", at positions 365 to 832 of the family's 1533-position model. The record is from RNAcentral. Lineage: Bacteria; Pseudomonadati; Planctomycetota; Candidatus Brocadiia; Candidatus Brocadiales; Candidatus Scalinduaceae.
UUCGCAAUGCCCGAAAGGGUGACGAAGCGACGCCGCGUGGGUGAGGAAGGCCUUCGGGUUGUAAAGCCCUGUCAGGAGUUAAGAAAUGUAAGUGCGCUAAUAUCGCAUUUAUUUGACGAAGGCUCCAAAGGAAGUCACGGCUAACUCUGUGCCAGCAGCCGCGGUAAUACAGAGGUGGCGAGCGUUGUUCGGAAUUAUUGGGCGUAAAGAGCACGUAGGUGGGUUUGCAAGUCAGAUGUGAAAGCCUUCUGUUCAACGGAAGAAUUGCAUCUGAAACUGCUAAUCUUGAGUAUAGGAGGGGAGAAUGGAACUUCUGGUGGAGCGGUGAAAUGCGUAGAUAUCAGAAGGAACGCCGGCGGCGAAAGCGAUUCUCUGGCCUAUUACUGACACUCAGUGUGCGAAAGCUAGGGGAGCAAACGGGAUUAGAUACCCCGGUAGUCCUAGCCGUAAACGAUGGGCACUAAGUAGAGGGGUUUU